GUUAGUAGUGACGAGCGAACGCGGACCAGGCCAGUGGCCAAUUUGAAAACAACCAGAAUGACCUGGAAAGGUCAGCCAUAGUGGGUGAUAGCCCCGUAUGGGUAAUGUUUCAUUUUGGUCCUUGAGUAGGGCGGGACACGAGAAAUCCUGCUUGAACAUGGGGGGACCACACUCCAAGCCUAAGUACUACUCUGUGACCGAUAGCGAACAAGUACCGUGAGGGAAAGGUGAAAAGAACCCCUAUGAGGGGAGUGAAACAGACCUGAAACCGAAUGCUUACAAACAGUAGGAGCUACAUUAAGUAGUGACUGCGUACCUUUUGUAUAAUGGGUCAGCGAGUUAAUUUAUUGAGCAAGCUUAAGCCGUUAGGUGUAGGCGAAGCGAAAGCGAGUAUGAAUAGUGCGAUUUAGUUCGAUGGAUUAGACCCGAAACCGGGUGAUCUAGCUAUGGGCAGGUUGAAGGUGCGGUAACACGCACUGGAGGACCGAACCCACGUCUGUUGAAAAAGACGGGGAUGACCUGUGGCUAGGGGUGAAAGGCCAAUCAAACCCGGAGAUAGCUGGUUCUCUGCGAAAACUAUUUAGGUAGUGCGUCGUGUAUUACCGUCGGGGGUAGAGCACUGGAUGGGCUAGGGGGGCGCGAGCCUUACCAAACCUAACCAAACUCCGAAUACCGGUAAGUACAGUAUAGCAGACAGUCCAUGGGUGCUAAGGUCCUUGGACGAGAGGGAAAGAGCCCAGACCACCAGCUAAGGUCCCUAAGUUAUGGCUAAGUGGGAAAGGAUGUGGGAAGGCCAAGACAGCCAGGAGGUUGGCUUAGAAGCAGCCAUCCUUUAAAGAAAGCGUAACAGCUCACUGGUCUAGACAAGCCGGCCUGCGCCGAAGAUGUAACGGGGCUAAAGCCACAUACCGAAGCUGAGGACGUGAUUUAUCACGUGGUAGCAGAGCGUUCUGUAGGCCUGCGAAGCGUAAUCGUGAGAUUGCGUGGAGGUAUCAGAAGUGAGAAUGCUGACAUGAGUAGCGAUAAAGAGUGUGAGAAACACUCUCGCCGUAAGCCCAAGGGUUCCUGCGCAAGGCUAAUCCGCGCAGGGUGAGUCGGCCCCUAAGACGAGGGCGAAAGCCGUAGUCGAUGGGAAUCAGGUUAAUAUUCCUGAACCUGUUGGUAGUGACGGAUGACGUAAGUUGUACAUGCUUAACGGAUUGUGUGUGCAGUGAAGUUGUCCCAGGAAAUAGCUCCAACAUUAAGACCGUACCCCAAACCGACACAGGUGGGCAGGUAGAGCAUACCGAGGCGCUUGAGAGAACGAUGUUGAAGGAACUCGGCAAAUUGCCCCCGUAACUUCGGGAGAAGGGGGACCUCCAUUUAGGCAACUAGAUGGAGGUGGCACAGACCAGGGGGUGGCGACUGUUUAUUAAAAACACAGGGCUCUGCGAAGUAGAUAAUACGACGUAUAGGGUCUGACGCCUGCCCGGUGCCGGAAGGUUAAGAGGAGGUGUGAGAGCUCCGAAUUGAAGCCCCGGUAAACGGCGGCCGUAACUAUAACGGUCCUAAGGUAGCGAAAUUCCUUGUCGGGU
RNAcentral lists this ribosomal RNA (1574 nucleotides) under marine metagenome. RNAcentral describes it as "bacterial LSU rRNA". It matches the Rfam family "Bacterial large subunit ribosomal RNA", at positions 239 to 1977 of the family's 2925-position model. The record is from RNAcentral.